UACGAAGGGGGCUAGCGUUGCUCGGAAUCACUGGGCGUAAAGCGCACGUAGGCGGGUUGUUAAGUCGGGGGUGAAAUCCUGGAGCUCAACUCCAGAACUGCGUCCGAUACUGGCAGGCUUGAAUCCGGGAGAGGGAUGUGGAAUUCCAGGUGUAGCGGUGAAAUGCGUAGAUAUCUGGAGGAACACCGGUGGCGAAGGCGGCAUCCUGGACCGGUAUUGACGCUGAUGCGCGAAAGCCAGGGGAGCAAACGGG
RNAcentral lists this ribosomal RNA (253 nucleotides) under uncultured bacterium. RNAcentral's name for it is "partial 16S ribosomal RNA". It matches the Rfam family "Bacterial small subunit ribosomal RNA", at positions 524 to 776 of the family's 1533-position model. The record is from RNAcentral.